AUUGAACGCUGGCGGCAUGCUUUACACAUGCAAGUCGGACGGCAGCACAGAGAAGCUUGCUUCUUGGGUGGCGAGUGGCGAACGGGUGAGUAAUAUAUCGGAACGUACCGAGUAAUGGGGGAUAACUAAUCGAAAGAUUAGCUAAUACCGCAUAUUCUCUGAGGAGGAAAGCAGGGGACCUUCGGGCCUUGCGUUAUUCGAGCGGCCGAUAUCUGAUUAGCUAGUUGGUGGGGUAAAGGCCUACCAAGGCGACGAUCAGUAGCGGGUCUGAGAGGAUGAUCCGCCACACUGGGACUGAGACACGGCCCAGACUCCUACGGGAGGCAGCAGUGGGGAAUUUUGGACAAUGGGCGCAAGCCUGAUCCAGCCAUGCCGCGUGUCUGAAGAAGGCCUUCGGGUUGUAAAGGACUUUUGUCAGGGAAGAAAAGGUUGUUGCUAAUAUCGACAGCUGA
Molecule: ribosomal RNA, 452 nt
Filed under: Neisseria flavescens
Lineage: Bacteria; Pseudomonadati; Pseudomonadota; Betaproteobacteria; Neisseriales; Neisseriaceae
Description: bacterial SSU rRNA
Rfam family: Bacterial small subunit ribosomal RNA
Source: RNAcentral